RNAcentral lists this ribosomal RNA (224 nucleotides) under Klebsiella pneumoniae. RNAcentral's name for it is "partial 23S ribosomal RNA". It matches the Rfam family "Bacterial large subunit ribosomal RNA", at positions 1 to 232 of the family's 2925-position model. Lineage: Bacteria; Pseudomonadati; Pseudomonadota; Gammaproteobacteria; Enterobacterales; Enterobacteriaceae. The record is from RNAcentral.
CGACUAAGCGUACAGUGUGGAUGCCCUGGCAGUCAGAGGCGAUGAAGGACGUGCUAAUCUGCGAAAAGCGUCGGUAAGGUGAUAUGAACCGUUAUAGCCGGCGAUGUCCGAAUGGGGAAACCCAGUGUGAUUCGUCACACUAUCGUUAACUGAAUACAUAGGUUAACGAGGCGAACCGGGGGAACUGAAACAUCUAAGUACCCCGAGGAAAAGAAAUCAACCGA